Ficedula albicollis (Collared flycatcher) is the source of this 468-nucleotide long non-coding RNA. RefSeq lists it as uncharacterized. The record is from RefSeq and is a predicted model, not a curated record. The transcript has 3 exons. Lineage: Eukaryota; Metazoa; Chordata; Aves; Passeriformes; Muscicapidae.
UCACAGGAGUAAUGUAGCCUUGGGCUGCCUUCCGUAUAGCAAGGGCUGGGAUCAUCUCUGCUUCCUUAACUCUUGCUGUUUCUUUGGGAUGAAACCUCAGGAUCUGCACUGUGAGUCCACCAGGGCACAGAGAACUCCUUUUGCAAGGAAUCAUCCUCUGCUUUCUGCUCCCAACAAGAGAAGGAGAUGCCUUGAAAACAUUGGUGCCAGUCAGGGACUGCACGGGGGAUGCACUGGCAGCACGUGUGUGACACUGGAAUAGGCUCUGGCUGGCUGUUCAGCUUCUCCUGUUUUGUGUGCCUGCACAUAAUGCCUCAGGCCGGGAAGAUGGCGCAUUUCAGCCUUUAUUUUCAUAUCUGGGAAGAGCAAUGAGGAUAAAUGUGGGGUUGUCUGGUAGAGAGAUGGGGACCUAAGUUUAAGUCUGUCUUUCUCUGUUGCUUUUAUGCACGGACACCACCGGAAGGCGAG